Molecule: non-coding RNA, 70 nt
Filed under: Paenibacillus tyrphae
Lineage: Bacteria; Bacillati; Bacillota; Bacilli; Caryophanales; Paenibacillaceae
Source: RNAcentral
AGCCGAAACGCCUCGCGAUAGGAGGCGUCGCGGGGAUAUGGCCUACCCCGCCUGAUGAUGGCAGGCCGGA